AGUCGAGCGGAGAUGAGGUGCUUGCACCUUAUCUUAGCGGCGGACGGGUGAGUAAUGCUUAGGAAUCUGCCUAUUAGUGGGGGACAACAUUCCGAAAGGAAUGCUAAUACCGCAUACGUCCUACGGGAGAAAGCAGGGGAUCUUCGGACCUUGCGCUAAUAGAUGAGCCUAAGUCGGAUUAGCUAGUUGGUGGGGUAAAGGCCUACCAAGGCGACGAUCUGUAGCGGGUCUGAGAGGAUGAUCCGCCACACUGGGACUGAGACACGGCCCAGACUCCUACGGGAGGCAGCAGUGGGGAAUAUUGGACAAUGGGGGGAACCCUGAUCCAGCCAUGCCGCGUGUGUGAAGAAGGCCUUAUGGUUGUAAAGCACUUUAAGCGAGGAGGAGGCUACUGAGACUAAUACUCUUGGAUAGUGGACGUUACUCGCAGAAUAAGCACCGGCUAACUCUGUGCCAGCAGCCGCGGUAAUACAGAGGGUGCGAGCGUUAAUCGGAUUUACUGGGCGUAAAGCGUGCGUAGGCGGCUUUUUAAGUCGGAUGUGAAAUCCCCGAGCUUAACUUGGGAAUUGCAUUCGAUACUGGGAAGCUAGAGUAUGGGAGAGGAUGGUAGAAUUCCAGGUGUAGCGGUGAAAUGCGUAGAGAUCUGGAGGAAUACCGAUGGCGAAGGCAGCCAUCUGGCCUAAUACUGACGCUGAGGUACGAAAGCAUGGGGAGCAAACAGGAUUAGAUACCCUGGUAGUCCAUGCCGUAAACGAUGUCUACUAACCGUUGGGGCCUUUGAGGCUUUAGUGGCGCAGCUAACGCGAUAAGUAGACCGCCUGGGGAGUACGGUCGCCAGACUAAAACUCAAAUGAAUUGACGG
RNAcentral lists this ribosomal RNA (862 nucleotides) under uncultured bacterium. RNAcentral describes it as "bacterial SSU rRNA". It matches the Rfam family "Bacterial small subunit ribosomal RNA", at positions 60 to 916 of the family's 1533-position model. The record is from RNAcentral.